RNAcentral lists this ribosomal RNA (254 nucleotides) under uncultured bacterium. RNAcentral's name for it is "partial 16S ribosomal RNA". It matches the Rfam family "Bacterial small subunit ribosomal RNA", at positions 524 to 776 of the family's 1533-position model. The record is from RNAcentral.
GACGAACCGUGCGAACGUUAUUCGGAAUCACUGGGCUUAAAGCGCGUGUAGGCGGGUCGGCACGUCGGCCGCUGAAAUCCCCCGGCUCAACCGGGGAACGGGCGCCGAUACGGCCGGCCUGGAGGGGGGUAGGGGGAGCCGGAACUCACGGUGGAGCGGUGAAAUGCGUUGAGAUCGUGAGGAACGCCCGUGGCGAAAGCGGGCUCCUGGGCCCCGCCUGACGCUGAGACGCGAAAGCCAGGGGAGCGAACGGG